Molecule: long non-coding RNA, 577 nt
Filed under: Mus caroli (Ryukyu mouse)
Lineage: Eukaryota; Metazoa; Chordata; Mammalia; Rodentia; Muridae
Description: lncRNA (MGP_CAROLIEiJ_G0013533.1)
Source: RNAcentral
AAAAGGAUGGCCCUGAAAGCAAAACUAGGUUCAAAGUUCAGAUAUGGGUUGUGAGAAGAGAGAGGUAUGGAGGCAUAUGGACUCUUCCAGAACCCUAGGGCCCAGGAGGGUGCCAUAAACUGCUGUCUCUCACCUGUUGAUGGAGCUGACACUGGGGACAGUGUCAUUGUCACAAACGCCUUCUGCCAGGAGCCGGUCCCGGAUCUCCCAAGCAAACAUGCUGGAAAUAAGUGCAUCCAAACCUGUAUCUGGAUGUAACGCCCCCAUGGUAAAUAAUGUUUAAAGAAAGACACGGCAUCCUUUUAUUCAUGUUUUCUCAAGACUCAGGAUGGAGCAGAGAUAGACGAGAAAAAGCCACAGCCAACAGCUCAGAAAAUUAUCAAGGUGUUGAAGAUCAGAGGGCAGAUUGCUUGCAAGAGAUGGUCUUCUCCUUCCAUAGUACAAGUAUUUCCCUAGCUCACUCACAAAAACUGAAACACUCUUUACAGUGGCUUCACAAGUCCUACUAUGUCAGCAAUGUCUUCCACCGUGUUCCCCCCUUUCCUUCUACAUGCUGUAAAUAAAGAUUCUGCUCCCA